Molecule: ribosomal RNA, 406 nt
Filed under: uncultured bacterium
Lineage: Bacteria
Description: partial 16S ribosomal RNA
Rfam family: Bacterial small subunit ribosomal RNA
Source: RNAcentral
AUUGAACGCUGGCGGCAGGCCUAACACAUGCAAGUCGAACGAGUGGCGGACGGGUGCGUAAUGUCUGGGACACUGCCCGAUGGAGGGGGAUAACUACUGGAAACGGUCGCUAAUACCGCAUACCCUCGGAUGUGCCCAGAUUGGAUUAGCUAGUAGGUGGGGUAACGCCUCACCUAGGCGACGAUCCCUAGCUGGUCUGAUAGGAUGACCAGGAAAACUGGAACUGAGACACGGUCCAGAAUCCUACGGGAGGCAGCAGUGGGGAAUAUUGCGCAAUGGGCGAAAGCCUGAUGCAGCCAUGCGGCGUGUAUGAAGAAGGCCUGCGGGUUGUAAAGUAAUUUCAGCGAGGGGGCGGUGCUCGCAGAAGAAGCACAGGCUAACUCCGUGCCAGGAGCCGCGGUAAUAC